RNAcentral lists this transfer RNA (72 nucleotides) under Candidatus Omnitrophota bacterium. RNAcentral's name for it is "tRNA-Gln". It matches the Rfam family "tRNA". Rfam says of the family: Transfer RNA (tRNA) molecules are approximately 80 nucleotides in length. Their secondary structure includes four short double-helical elements and three loops (D, anti-codon, and T loops). The record is from RNAcentral. Lineage: Bacteria; Pseudomonadati; Candidatus Omnitrophota.
UGCCCCGUGGUGUAAUUGGCAACACAACUGACUCUGACUCAGUCAUUCCUGGUUCGAGUCCAGGCGGGGCAA